This 199-nucleotide unclassified non-coding RNA is filed under the name uncultured fungus. RNAcentral describes it as "partial contains 18S rRNA, ITS1, 5.8S rRNA, ITS2 and 28S rRNA". Lineage: Eukaryota; Fungi. The record is from RNAcentral.
AAGGAUCAUUACAGAGUUCAUGCCCUCACGGGUAGAUCUCCCACCCUUGAAUAACAUACCUUUGUUGCUUUGGCAGGCCGCACUCGUGCCACAGGCUUCGGCUUCUGAGUGCCUGCCAGAGGACCACAACUCUUGUUUUUAGUGAUGUCUGAGUACUAUAUAAUAGUUAAAACUUUCAACAACGGAUCUCUUGGUUCUG